Molecule: long non-coding RNA, 363 nt
Organism: Carassius gibelio (silver crucian carp)
Lineage: Eukaryota; Metazoa; Chordata; Actinopteri; Cypriniformes; Cyprinidae
Exons: 2
Source: RefSeq, a predicted model, not a curated record
CUUGAUGAUGCAAAAAAUUUACUCUAAAUCCAGGUCAGACGGUGGGGGUGGUAAUUUAGUAUGCAAAUUUAUUCAAAGAAUAUAGGAAAUGAGAAUACAACUCAUAACUUACAAACAGAUUUAUAAGUAUUAAAAUCAGCUUAAAAUAUAGAAAAUACAAAUCCCAAUAUUAAUAUAGUUUUAAAAGCAAUCCAUAUAUGAUGGGUGUUGCCCAAUUAAGAGUAAUACAAAAUGCAUUAUAAUAUUCUAAAGUAAUCAAGAUGUUAAAAAUAAUAAUACAAAGUAUACAACAAUACCUGUAUAUCCAAAGUCAAAAGUUAUACUAAUAUUCAUAUAAUAACAAAUAAUAUAAUAAUAAUCAUA